This 253-nucleotide ribosomal RNA is filed under the name uncultured bacterium. RNAcentral's name for it is "partial 16S ribosomal RNA". It matches the Rfam family "Bacterial small subunit ribosomal RNA", at positions 524 to 776 of the family's 1533-position model. The record is from RNAcentral.
CACGUAGGGCGCGAGCGUUGUCCGGAAUUAUUGGGCGUAAAGCGCUCGUAGGCGGCCUGUUGCGUCCGCUGUGAAAGCCCGGGGCUUAACCCCGGGUCGGCAGUGGAUACGGGCAGGCUAGAGGUAGGUAGGGGAGAAUGGAAUUCCCGGUGUAGCGGUGAAAUGCGCAGAUAUCGGGAGGAACACCGGUGGCGAAGGCGGUUCUCUGGGCCUUACCUGACGCUGAGGAGCGAAAGCGUGGGGAGCGAACAGG